Patella vulgata (common limpet) is the source of this 2061-nucleotide long non-coding RNA. RefSeq lists it as uncharacterized. Lineage: Eukaryota; Metazoa; Mollusca; Gastropoda; Patellidae. The transcript is spliced from 7 exons. The record is from RefSeq and is a predicted model, not a curated record.
CAAGGCCAUAUAACCAGACCAGAUUAUAAUAACCUAAAAUGGAUAUGGAUUUAUUACAGUAUUAACAAUGGUAUUAUAUAAUAACCAUGUUGCAUGUAAUAUGUUUAUACCAUGACCUGUGAUUUGACCUUGUUGACAAGACUCAUGUCGCGUAGUACUGGGUAUCUAUCGACUACAUUGUGUGUUUCAACUAAGGGCUGUAUUGAUAAAUAGCUUAUUAAUAGUAAUGCAAUAUUGGUAUAGCAUAUGUUGGCUUAUCGUUAAUCCACGUCCAUCAAAUUGAUAAUCGACAAUGGAGAGACUUCAGAGUUUAUCAGACUUUAUAAACAAGGACAACCAUUGGCCGAUUCUAGCUGGUACCGGAACUGUUCUCAUUGGUGGAAUAACUGCUUAUAAACUUUUAACUAAACGAAAAAAGAAAAGUUGGCCCAAAGAUACAGUUGUAUUACAUUCACUUGACAAAGGCAUCUGGGAUAUGAGUAUAACACCAUUUGCUGUUAAACUAGAAACAUAUUUCCGAUUGGCUGAUAUUCCUUACAUUAACAACCCAACCCGUCAGCAAUCAUCUAAGAAGAAAAUACCAUGGAUUGAGUAUAAUGGCGAAGCUGUGGCUGAUUCUGAUUUUAUUAUAGAAUAUUUAAAUAAAAAGUUAGCUUUAGAUCUCAAUAUGCAUUUAACACAAACAGAAAGAGCUAUAGGUCGUGCAUUCUCUAAAAUGGUGGAAGACAAUACAUAUUGGACGAUGGUGAUGUCAAGGUGGUACCAUGAUAUACAUAAAGUUGACCCUCCGGGUCUUGGUUUGAUACCCAGGUGGCUUCUCUCUGUUUUUGCUCGAAAGGUAUAUAAACAGGGAUGGCAACAAGGUAUGGGUAGACACAGUCGUGAUGAAGUACUACAUAUCAUGGAAGAAGAUUUAAAGGCGGUUUCUCUGUUUUUAGAUAAAAAGAAGUAUUUGUUUGGAGAGAAACCAUGUGAAGUUGAUUGUGUUGUAUUUGGUCAAUUAUCACAGUUUUGUUGGCAUAUGCCUGGUUUAUACGGCGAGACAUUAAUAAAUGAGAAAUACCCUAAUCUAAAGGAAUAUUGCUAUCGAAUGAAGAAAGCGUUCUGGCCAGAACUGGGAACAAGUGCAAGAAGCAAACAGGAGAAAAAAUCAGCAUGAACUGAGAUUGUGAUACCCGAGAACAUUUUGUAGAUUUGUUAUCAGUGAAGGGCUUUUCCACUAAUAUUAUGUUUAUAUGUACAUUAGUUAAUUCGAAUUAAAAUUUAAAAAUAAAAUUUGUUGAAGAUAAAGUUAGAUAUAUCUCAAUCUAUGAGCAAAGUCAGACUUACAACUCAAAUGAAUCCAGAAUUUUUGACGUCAUAUCUCAAUCUGCGGAUAUCAUGUUUUUAAAAAGGAAUGCCAUAAAAUAAAGAAGAAUCAAUAGUGAUAUUAAUUUUACACACAUCAAAGACAUUGUUACAUUAUUUUGAAUUAACUAAUGUAAUACUUGUCGCGUACACAUGUACAGUGUGACUUGUCAUUCAUAAACCAUCAACUCACUAACUUACUUUCGGAGAGGGGGGGGAUGGUCGAAUGGAUAGCACGUGCGCGCUGUAUCAUAAAGCCUGUCAUUGAGUCAACUGGCGUGGUUUCGAAUCCCCGGUUGUACGUGACAAGGAGUAGGGUCGUCUGUCCAACCUCGUGGGUUUUCUCGCGAAUUAUUGAAAUAAAAUUAAACCAUAUGUUAGUCCCGAAAUGACCUAGUUUGUGUCGAGUGGACUUUGAACCCCAUUUCUCUCUCUCUCUGUCUCUCACUCUCGGAGAUAAAUGGACGCAUAUGAAGAGCGGUCGUUAUUCCGACAACGGACAGACCUAGGAAGAUUUUAGAUUUUAUCUAAUGCAUAAUAAAUGUAAAUGUAAUAUUACCUUAUAAGUUGUUGUACUAUGGGCCAGUAACAAUAAUAUCGUUAAAUCCAUCCAAAAGACGAAUUGCACGAAUUUCUGAUUGCAUAUAUUAUAUAGUCAUCAUAAUUUUUUGUUGAAUUAAUAAACUAUUACGUAUUUAAAACAUUAUAACAGGA